AGAAAUGUUACGCCUGCCGAAGAGAAG
Molecule: non-coding RNA, 27 nt
Filed under: Bombyx mori (domestic silkworm)
Lineage: Eukaryota; Metazoa; Arthropoda; Insecta; Lepidoptera; Bombycidae
Source: RNAcentral